Molecule: ribosomal RNA, 408 nt
Filed under: uncultured Pseudonocardia sp.
Lineage: Bacteria; Bacillati; Actinomycetota; Actinomycetes; Pseudonocardiales; Pseudonocardiaceae
Description: bacterial SSU rRNA
Rfam family: Bacterial small subunit ribosomal RNA
Source: RNAcentral
AGUGGGGAAUAUUGCGCAAUGGGCGGAAGCCUGACGCAGCGACGCCGCGUGGGGGAUGACGGCCUUCGGGUUGUAAACCUCUUUCGGCCCCGACGAAGCGGAAGUGACGGUAGGGGUGGAAGAAGCACCGGCCAACUACGUGCCAGCAGCCGCGGUAACACGUAGGGUGCGAGCGUUGUCCGGAAUUAUUGGGCGUAAAGAGCUCGUAGGCGGUGUGUCGCGUCGGCCGUGAAAACCUGCAGCUUAACUGUGGGCUUGCGGUCGAUACGGGCAUCACUGGAGUUCGGCAGGGGAGACUGGAAUUCCUGGUGUAGCGGUGAAAUGCGCAGAUAUCAGGAGGAACACCGGUGGCGAAGGCGGGUCUCUGGGCCGAUACUGACGCUGAGGAGCGAAAGCGUGGGGAGCGAA